AGAGAGAGACAUGCGCGCAUAUCAAUAAGCGGAGGAAAAGAAACUAACAAGGAUUCCCCUAGUAACGGCGAGUGAAGCGGGAAGAGCUCAAAUUUGAAAUCUUCAAGGGUUUCCCUUGACGAAUUGUAGUUUAUAGAAGUGUUUUCUGUUAGUAGAGGUGGUAAAAGUUCUUUGGAAUAGGACAUCAUAGAGGGUGAGAAUCCCGUAUUUGAUCACUUUCUACUAGCUUUGUGAUACACUUUCAAAGAGUCGGAUUGUUUGGGAAUGCAGUCCAAAAUGGGUGGUAAAUUUCAUCUAAAGCUAAAUAUUGGCGAGAGACCGAUAGCGAACAAGUACCGUGAGGGAAAGAUGAAAAGAACUUUGAAAAGAGAGUUAAACAGUACGUGAAAUUGUCAAAAGGGAAGCGUUUGACACCAGUGUUGUUUUUCCGAAAAUCAAUUAUGAAUGCUUUAUUUUGAGGAGUUCAUGACCUUAAUAGGCUUGUUCCUUAUUUUCUUGGAACUUUCCUAAUGCACUUUUCGGUUAACAAGUCAACAUCAAUUUCUUUUGCUGUAAAAGAGUAUGAGGAAGGUGGCUUUAUCUUUCGGUAGAAAGUGUUUAUAGCCUUGUACCUCUGCAAGUCGGAGAGAUUGAGGUCUGCAGCGUAGAUCCUUCGGGGCUAGAUACAUUUGUGCUAAGUUAUAGCUUUGUAUAGACAACAUGUUGACUAUAGCUUAGUCUUGUAGCUUACUCGCAUAUAGUAUUUUACCUACGCUUAGGAUGUUGACAGCAGUAUAGACUGU
RNAcentral lists this ribosomal RNA (782 nucleotides) under uncultured Neocallimastigales. RNAcentral's name for it is "partial large subunit ribosomal RNA". It matches the Rfam family "Eukaryotic large subunit ribosomal RNA", at positions 23 to 631 of the family's 3401-position model. Lineage: Eukaryota; Fungi; Neocallimastigomycota; Neocallimastigomycetes; Neocallimastigales. The record is from RNAcentral.